Molecule: transfer RNA, 90 nt
Filed under: Chromatiales bacterium
Lineage: Bacteria; Pseudomonadati; Pseudomonadota; Gammaproteobacteria; Chromatiales
Also listed under: 1 other name
Description: tRNA-Leu
Source: RNAcentral
GCCUCAUUAAGUUCUACUAAUAUCCGUCUUGACCUGACUCAAAAUCAGGUUCCUUCGGGAGUGCGAGUUCGAGUCUCGCCCUCGGCACCA